AUCUGUCAAUGAAGAAUUGUGCAGGGGUCCUGAAAUCGGCCGAGAUGUGUGCCGAUGGGCUUUCGGGAAUCUGGAUAUCGGUUUCUGGAUCGAAGAUUGGUUCAGAAAGAUAGCACCCACCGAGACAGAU
Molecule: unclassified non-coding RNA, 130 nt
Filed under: Caenorhabditis elegans
Lineage: Eukaryota; Metazoa; Nematoda; Chromadorea; Rhabditida; Rhabditidae
Description: Ce97 C/D snoRNA
Source: RNAcentral